UGCCAAAAAUAAUGAAGAACUGCUGAAUUAUUGGCAUUGGUACAGAAAUUUGUCUUAAAUUCUCUGGAGAUUCACCAUGAAUGGCAGGAAGAAGGCAAGAAUUCUAAACAGAAAAGUACAGAAUGAGUAACACAAUCCUUCAGCUGCAGGCAAAAUGCUCUCACUACAGCUAAUGUUAGAGUAUUUACAAACUCAUUUAACAUCAAGUCUACCCUUGACCUAACUGCUAACCAGAGGGAAACCAAGAUGAACUAAUAAGAGUGGGCAAAACAUAUUUAAAGAUGCAAGUGAACAAUACAUUAUUUGAAAAACAACCCCUCAGGCUGUGCAGCAGUCCCUGCACUGGAGAGUCUGCCUCAGUUUUUGUGCUCAAGUCUAAACGUGGAACAUGAACAGCCUUCUGGCUGACAGGCAAAAUGGAGAAGAUCAACAAUGUUGUUUGAAGCAUGUUUUGAAGUCCAUUUAGGAGGGAACCAAUAAAGGAAAGUUGUCCUCUUACCUACCGCUCAGCAUAAAUAUGUCUGCUGCGAGGUAGACAGCUAGGGUAAAGCAAUCUGCAAAUUCAAGACAAGAUGGAAUCUGAUCAAGAAAUGGGUUAAAAUCUUCAAGAAGACCAAUAAGAAAAGGAUUUUAAUGGAAUCAAGUUUAAUCCUCAAAUGAAUACCUCAAGGUUACAAGAGCUGCUGAAUGAGCAGCUGAACACGCAUUCAACAGCAGGCAAGGACCCCACCAGUGCUACUUCACGGGAUUUCAGCCACUUUCAGGAGUAAAGUCUGCAAAAUGACUAGCAAAUGUGUAUCAAGUGACAAGGACUCCAUUACUCCCAAAAUGAAGAGGAAAGUUAUUACUUUGGAACAGAAAUUAGAAGUGCUAUGACAUGAUGAAGUUGGAGAGAAGGCAGCAGCCAUGGCUAGUUCACUUGGACUUCUACUAAUGACUGUGUCCACCAUCAAGAACAAAAAUAAGAUAAUGGCUAGUGACCAAAAUGCUAUUCCUCUAAGCGCUAUGAAGAUUAUCUAUAUAAUGUGCAGCAUGUUAGAAUAUAUGGAACCAACUUGAACGUAUGGGUUAUGCCAGUUAACUGACCAACCAAAGAAUGGCAAAGAAUUUGUUUGAUUAAUAAGGAGCUGCUUCAGCUUGAGCUGAAGCGAGCUCUAUCAGAAGGUGAAGAAGCGGAGGAAUUAUCACACAGCAAACAAUACAAGUUGGAGGCUUUCAAGCUAACUGAAGGAGCACUGAAAUUUUUUGAAGAUAGUGAUCCUUCUUUGGAAAUGCUAUAAAUAUGUAUAUCCAAGAACUACAUGUUUUAAAAAAAAAUUGGAAGGAUAUUGAGUUAUUUGGACACUGUCUUGGAAACUGACCUUUUUUAAAAGGUGACAAGUUCACUUGGGACUGUGGGAAAACUGCCUUUUCCAACGAGUCACAUGACUUCAGCUAAAUAACCAGCAAGGCACCUGAAGAGAUAAGAACUAUUUGCUUACUUGAACUUUAAUUAAUGGAAAAAAAAUACUGUUUUCAGACUUGAGGCCUUGGUGAUUUUCUGGAAACUACCUAACUGAGAUGAGUUUCUGUUUUGAACUUGUGUUUUGAACUUAGUUUUGGGAAAACAGAAAAGGAGAAGGUUGCCCAACUCGCUCUCUCCUUCCCUCAACUGAAAUUCAGUGUAGUUAUCAGUGUCCAGCGAGAAAUCCUCAUCUCAAUAUAACUCAUCUGUAUUUGGAAAUCUGAGAAGCUGAGAUGAGAGAGAGAUCCCAAGGACAUUGAUUCCAUUCAGUUCUCCUCCACACUGAAGCUCCUUUGGAAAGAACUCCCAGACAAUUACUGUGACCAGCGAUCAGUCUUUGUACACAGGUACACCAGAUCGACAGUGUCAAAGCCCUUUGAACUAAGUCCUUUCUCAUAAUUUUUUCACAAUGGCCAGAGGUUUUUUCCUUUAAUAUGCCAGCCUCUACAGGGACCCUAUUUGUUUUGUCCUUUGUGUGUAUGUGUAUAUGUUGGGAUUUAGAGGAGUAUAUAGUUACACUUCUGGAUUACAAAUUGUAUGUUAACCAGUUUUUUGCAACUUUUUUUUAAAAAGAAGUUUUGUUUCAUAAU
Long non-coding RNA from Carcharodon carcharias (great white shark), 2094 nucleotides. RefSeq lists it as uncharacterized. The record is from RefSeq and is a predicted model, not a curated record. The transcript is spliced from 5 exons. Lineage: Eukaryota; Metazoa; Chordata; Chondrichthyes; Lamniformes; Lamnidae.